CAGUCGCCGCGGUAAUACGGAGGGUGCAAGCGUUAUCCGGAUUUAUUGGGUUUAAAGGGUCCGUAGGCGGAUCUGUAAGUCAGUGGUGAAAUCUCACAGCUUAACUGUGAAACUGCCAUUGAUACUGCAGGUCUUGAGUAAAUUUGAAGUGGCUGGAAUAAGUAGUGUAACGGUGAAAUGCAUAGAUAUUACUUAGAACACCAAUUGCGAAGGCAGGUCACUAAGAUUUAACUGACGCUGAUGGACGAAAGCGUGGGGAGCGAACAGGAUUAGAGACCCCUGUAGUCCCUGUCUCUUAUAC
This 301-nucleotide ribosomal RNA is filed under the name uncultured bacterium. Its description in RNAcentral is "partial 16S ribosomal RNA". It matches the Rfam family "Bacterial small subunit ribosomal RNA", at positions 509 to 807 of the family's 1533-position model. The record is from RNAcentral.